CGUUCCCGGGCCUUGUACACACCGCCCGUCACACCACGAAAGCUGGUUGAACCAGAAGCCGGUCACCCAACCCGCAAGGGGGGAGCCGUCCAAGGUUUGGCUAGUGAUUGGGGUG
This 115-nucleotide ribosomal RNA is filed under the name uncultured bacterium. RNAcentral describes it as "partial 16S ribosomal RNA". It matches the Rfam family "Bacterial small subunit ribosomal RNA", at positions 1369 to 1482 of the family's 1533-position model. The record is from RNAcentral.